AAAACGAAUCACUUAAGGUGAUGGAAGUUAAUAGCAGAGGGCUUUUUUUGAGCUGGAGGGCAUUGUUGUGAGCAUGUAAGUUGAGUUUUAAGAAAAAGCUAGGCCACUAGAACUUUCAAGCCAGAGGUUUUAGCUGGUACCUCCAAGCCACGUCUAACUCCACUUGCCUCUUGUUGAUGCUGCUGCCUCGCAUCCCCAAGAGCCAAAGCAACC
Non-coding RNA from Lolium perenne, 213 nucleotides. Lineage: Eukaryota; Viridiplantae; Streptophyta; Magnoliopsida; Poales; Poaceae. The record is from RefSeq and is a predicted model, not a curated record.